CCCACAAGAUAGUCAGCAGUCUAAUAUAUGAAUAUUGUUAAACUGCGUUACACUUGUGGAAAAUUGAAAUGGUUUCCUGCAAUCGUCUAUGUUUGCCUUGUGUUAAGGUGAACUAUUUGAUCAGUGGAAGCAUCGCAUGCUUGUACCACAUGAGGGAGAAAUUCACUUUUCUAGUUUCUUCCAUGUACGGCAAGCAGACACA
Molecule: non-coding RNA, 202 nt
Organism: Paramuricea clavata
Lineage: Eukaryota; Metazoa; Cnidaria; Anthozoa; Malacalcyonacea; Plexauridae
Source: the annotation of a GenBank genome assembly